This 472-nucleotide ribosomal RNA is filed under the name uncultured bacterium. RNAcentral's name for it is "partial 16S ribosomal RNA". It matches the Rfam family "Bacterial small subunit ribosomal RNA", at positions 28 to 523 of the family's 1533-position model. The record is from RNAcentral.
GACGAACGCUGGCGGCGUGCUUAACACAUGCAAGCCGAGCGAGAAACCUUCGGGUUUCUAGCGGCGGACGGGUGAGUAACACGUGGGUAACCUGCCUCAAAGAGGGGGAUAGCCUUCCGAAAGGAAGAUUAAUACCGCAUAAUAUUACAGUUUCGCAUGAAGCAGUAAUUAAAGGAGUAAUCCGUUUUGAGAUGGACCCGCGGCGCAUUAGCUAGUUGGAGAGGUAACGGCUCACCAAGGCAACGAUGCGUAGCCGACCUGAGAGGGUGAUCGGCCACAUUGGAACUGAGACACGGUCCAGACUCCUACGGGAGGCAGCAGUGGGGAAUAUUGCACAAUGGGCGAAAGCCUGAUGCAGCAACGCCGCGUGAGUGAUGAAGGUCUUCGGAUUGUAAAGCUCUGUCUUUUGGGACGAUAAUGACGGUACCAAAGGAGGAAGCCACGGCUAACUACGUGCCAGCAGCCGCGGUAA